UAAAGAUUUCAUUCUUGCACCGCAUUUGGCUGAGUAAGUUUCUUUUAGUUAACUUUCUUUUAUUUUAUUACUAUGAUUCACAUAACUAUUCUAUAACGCUAAUUUUGUAGCGACCAUUGGUCUUUGUUCAUCAUCGCCCAACACACAAGACAUGUGUAUAUUUUGGAUUCAACAAAGAUAAAAGGCGAAAAGAAUGCUUCUAACUAUCGUCUUUCAAGCCUAAUUGCUACCGCCUUAGGAUCCGAGUUCAACUACACAAUGGUUGAUUGUAAGCAACAAAAGGGUGGAUGGGAAUGCGGCUACAUGGUUCUCCAACAUAUGUUUGACUUUGUCAAUUUGUAUCAAAACCAGUUUCCCGAUGAAAUGUGGCACGACACGAGAGAGGCAACGGAUAAUGAGAUAGAUGUUUUGUUGAUGACGUUGAUGCCGAAGUUUUUUAGGGAGUUAGGUAUUUCGUUAGAUUAGCGUAUGUAGUUUACUUAUGCAAUUUAACGUAGCUUGUUAUGUAUUCACAAAUGAUUGCAAUUUGACGGUUUAUUUCCGAAUUGGAUGUCUACGGGUUUAUUUUUGAUUUGAAUAUG
Helianthus annuus (common sunflower) is the source of this 581-nucleotide long non-coding RNA. RefSeq lists it as uncharacterized. Lineage: Eukaryota; Viridiplantae; Streptophyta; Magnoliopsida; Asterales; Asteraceae. The transcript is spliced from 3 exons. The record is from RefSeq and is a predicted model, not a curated record.